CGCUGAUGUGGGCUUAAUGUAGCAACUGCUGCGGCUUCCCACGCUGGAUCCACCGGCAUGUGAGAGACAGUGAAGGAGGGGAAAAUCGGAAGCUGAGAUCGCGCUGUUGCAGAAAGGUUCAAGGAUACUGCUGAUUCAGCAUUCAGGUCUUUCCAUUCCUCAAUGACAUGCUGUAGAUCCAUCUCUCGUAGAAGCAGCCUCACUUCCCCGAUGACAUCAUGCUUCGCAAAACGAUUAAAGUCAUAGACUCGCAUCACAACCUGUGUAUCUUCUAAUUCUGACUGUAAGAGCUGAAGUACAGAAUACAGCAGCAACAACAGCAGAUGAUUAUCAAAAGAAUUAAGAAGAGUCCCACAGCAAACAACGUGUAGAUGGCCCAUCGUGGUACUGGAAAGAAUGUAUUGCAAUGCAUUUAUUAAAAGAU
Molecule: long non-coding RNA, 424 nt
Organism: Hyla sarda
Lineage: Eukaryota; Metazoa; Chordata; Amphibia; Anura; Hylidae
Exons: 3
Source: RefSeq, a predicted model, not a curated record